Molecule: ribosomal RNA, 594 nt
Filed under: uncultured bacterium
Lineage: Bacteria
Description: bacterial SSU rRNA
Rfam family: Bacterial small subunit ribosomal RNA
Source: RNAcentral
AGUUGGUAAGGUAAUGGCUUACCAAGGCUAUGACGGGUAGGGGACCUGAGAGGGUGGCCCCCCACAAUGGAACUGAAACACGGUCCAUACACCUACGGGUGGCAGCAGUAGGGAAUAUUAGUAAUGGGCGAAAGCCUGAACUAGCAACGCCGCGUGUGCGAAGAAGGCCUUCGGGUUGUAAAGCACUUUUAGAGAGGAUGAGGAAGGACGGUACUCUCAGAAUAAGUCUCGGCUAACUACGUGCCAGCAGCCGCGGUAACACGUAGGAGGCGAACGUUAUCCGGAUUUACUGGGCGUAAAGCGCGUGUAGGUGGUUUGGUAAGUAGGGCGUGAAAGCUCCCGGCUCAACUGGGAGAGGCCGUUCUAAACUGCCAAGCUAGAGGAUGGUAGAGGGAGGUGGAAUUCCGGGUGUAGCGGUGGAAUGCGCAGAUAUCCGGAGGAACACCAGUGGCGAAGGCGGCCUCCUGGGCCACUCCUGACACUCAGACGCGAAAGCUAGGGUAGCAAACGGGAUUAGAGACCCCGGUAGUCCUAGCCCUAAACGAUGUAGACUUGGCGUCGGUGGUUUAAACGCCAUCGGUGUCGCAGCUAACG